CGCGGAUCUUCCAGAGAUUAGAGUUUGAUCCUGGCUCAGGAUGAACGCUAGCGGCAGGCUUAAUACAUGCAAGUCGUGGGGCAGCAGGGGUGUAGCAAUACACUCGCUGGCGACCGGCAAACGGGUGCGGAACACGUACGCAACCUACCCAAAACUGGGGAAUAGCCCGGGGAAACCCGGAUUAAUACCUCGUAACAUAAUGAAGUGGCAUCACUUUAUUAUUAUAGCUCCGGCGGUUUUGGAUGGGCGUGCGGCUGAUUAGGUAGUUGGCGGGGUAACGGCCCACCAAGCCUACGAUCAGUAACUGGUGUGAGAGCACGACCAGUCACACGGGCACUGAGACACGGGCCCGACUCCUACGGGAGGCAGCAGUAAGGAAUAUUGGUCAAUGGACGCAAGUCUGAACCAGCCAUGCCGCGUGGAGGAUGAAGGCCCUCUGGGUUGUAAACUUCUUUUAUAGGGGACGAAACCCUGGUAUUCCUACCAGAUUGACGGUACCCUAGGAAUAAGCACCGGCUAACUCCGUGCCAGCAGCCGCGGUAAUACGGAGGGUGCAAGCGUUAUCCGGAUUCACUGGGUUUAAAGGGUGCGUAGGAGGGCAGGUAAGUCA
Molecule: ribosomal RNA, 610 nt
Filed under: uncultured Flavisolibacter sp.
Lineage: Bacteria; Pseudomonadati; Bacteroidota; Chitinophagia; Chitinophagales; Chitinophagaceae
Description: bacterial SSU rRNA
Rfam family: Bacterial small subunit ribosomal RNA
Source: RNAcentral